RNAcentral lists this transfer RNA (73 nucleotides) under Arcanobacterium canis. Its description in RNAcentral is "tRNA-Arg". It matches the Rfam family "tRNA". Rfam says of the family: Transfer RNA (tRNA) molecules are approximately 80 nucleotides in length. Their secondary structure includes four short double-helical elements and three loops (D, anti-codon, and T loops). Further hydrogen bonds mediate the characteristic L-shaped molecular structure. tRNAs have two regions of fundamental functional importance: the anti-codon, which is responsible for specific mRNA codon recognition, and the 3' end, to which the tRNAs corresponding amino acid is attached (by aminoacyl-tRNA synthetases). tRNAs cope with the degeneracy of the genetic code in two manners: having more than one tRNA (with a specific anti-codon) for a particular amino acid; and 'wobble' base-pairing, i.e. permitting non-standard base-pairing at the 3rd anti-codon position. The record is from RNAcentral. Lineage: Bacteria; Bacillati; Actinomycetota; Actinomycetes; Actinomycetales; Actinomycetaceae. RNAcentral also lists the same sequence under 4 other names.
GCGCCCGUAGCUCAACGGAUAGAGCGUCUGACUACGGAUCAGAAGGUUGGGGGUUCGAAUCCCUUCGGGCGCG